UGACAAGAUAAGGUAGCUGAAAAGCCCAUCGUGUGCUGAAACUUCACUGAGAUGUGUGAUGAAGGCCAUCUCCUGUGUGUCUCUCUUUGACAACUCAAUUCAAAUAGAUGUUGCUGGUGAACUUAAAGCUCUCAGACUGCUCCCUGGUGUUACAAUUCUUUUCAGCCUAUAGCAUGCACAUAGUCCCAGAGCACAACCUGCCAUGAAUACAAGCCUCUUUUUGCCAGGUUUUAUCUAUAGAAAUAAAAUAAAGACAGCUAAGGCA
RNAcentral lists this long non-coding RNA (265 nucleotides) under Numida meleagris (helmeted guineafowl). Its description in RNAcentral is "lncRNA (ENSNMEG00000019770.1)". The record is from RNAcentral. Lineage: Eukaryota; Metazoa; Chordata; Aves; Galliformes; Numididae.